RNAcentral lists this ribosomal RNA (3088 nucleotides) under Salmonella enterica subsp. enterica serovar Derby. RNAcentral describes it as "23S ribosomal RNA". It matches the Rfam family "Bacterial large subunit ribosomal RNA". The record is from RNAcentral. Lineage: Bacteria; Pseudomonadati; Pseudomonadota; Gammaproteobacteria; Enterobacterales; Enterobacteriaceae.
GGUUAAGCGACUAAGCGUACACGGUGGAUGCCCUGGCAGUCAGAGGCGAUGAAGGGCGUGCUAAUCUGCGAUAAGCGCCGGUAAGGUGAUAUGAACCGUUAUAACCGGCGAUACCCGAAUGGGGAAACCCAGUGUGACUCGUCACACUAUCAUUAACUGAAUCCAUAGGUUAAUGAGGCGAACCGGGGGAACUGAAACAUCUAAGUACCCCGAGGAAAAGAAAUCAACCGAGAUUCCCCCAGUAGCGGCGAGCGAACGGGGAGGAGCCCAGAGCCUGAAUCAGCAUGUGUGUUAGUGGAAGCGUCUGGAAAGGCGCGCGAUACAGGGUGACAGCCCCGUACACAAAAGCGCAUGUGCUGUGAGCUCGAUGAGUAGGGCGGGACACGUGGUAUCCUGUCUGAAUAUGGGGGGACCAUCCUCCAAGGCUAAAUACUCCUGACUGACCGAUAGUGAACCAGUACCGUGAGGGAAAGGCGAAAAGAACCCCGGCGAGGGGAGUGAAAAAGAACCUGAAACCGUGUACGUACAAGCAGUGGGAGCCCCACCACUAAGCCAGUGGUGAACUCCACAUACGCAUCCUUUGCUGAGGAUACGGUUAACGGAGCGCAAGCGACGUUCAACCGCAAAAGAAGCAGAGGGGGCUUAGUGGUGGGGUGACUGCGUACCUUUUGUAUAAUGGGUCAGCGACUUAUAUUCUGUAGCAAGGUUAACCGUAUAGGGGAGCCGGAGGGAAACCGAGUCUUAAUUGGGCGUUAAGUUGCAGGGUAUAGACCCGAAACCCGGUGAUCUAGCCAUGGGCAGGUUGAAGGUUGGGUAACACUAACUGGAGGACCGAACCGACUAAUGUUGAAAAAUUAGCGGAUGACCUGUGGCUGGGGGUGAAAGGCCAAUCAAACCGGGAGAUAGCUGGUUCUCCCCGAAAGCUAUUUAGGUAGCGCCUCGUGAAUUCAUCUCCGGGGGUAGAGCACUGUUUCGGCUAGGGGGCCAUCCCGGCUUACCAACCCGAUGCAAACUGCGAAUACCGGAGAAUGUUAUCACGGGAGACACACGGCGGGUGCUAACGUCCGUCGUGAAGAGGGAAACAACCCAGACCGCCAGCUAAGGUCCCAAAGUCAUGGUUAAGUGGGAAACGAUGUGGGAAGGCCCAGACAGCCAGGAUGUUGGCUUAGAAGCAGCCAUCAUUUAAAGAAAGCGUAAUAGCUCACUGGUCGAGUCGGCCUGCGCGGAAGAUGUAACGGGGCUAAACCAUGCACCGAAGCUGCGGCAGCGAACGUAUCACUUAAAGCGAUUCAGCGGGUUACGAUUGACGGAGCGAAGCGACGUCAAAGCGUAUACAAAGUCGAGUCGGUUUAAGGAUACGUUCGUUGGGUAGGGGAGCGUUCUGUAAGCCUGUGAAGGUGGCCUGUGAGGGUUGCUGGAGGUAUCAGAAGUGCGAAUGCUGACAUAAGUAACGAUAAAGCGGGUGAAAAGCCCGCUCGCCGGAAGACCAAGGGUUCCUGUCCAACGUUAAUCGGGGCAGGGUGAGUCGACCCCUAAGGCGAGGCCGAAAGGCGUAGUCGAUGGGAAACGGGUUAAUAUUCCCGUACUUGGUGUUACUGCGAAGGGGGGACGGAGAAGGCUAUGUUGGCCGGGCGACGGUUGUCCCGGUUUAAGCGUGUAGGUGUGUGUUCCAGGUAAAUCCGGUUCACUUUAACACUGAGGCGUGAUGACGAGGCACUACGGUGCUGAAGCAACAAAUGCCCUGCUUCCAGGAAAAGCCUCUAAGCAUCAGGUAACAUCAAAUCGUACCCCAAACCGACACAGGUGGUCAGGUAGAGAAUACCAAGGCGCUUGAGAGAACUCGGGUGAAGGAACUAGGCAAAAUGGUGCCGUAACUUCGGGAGAAGGCACGCUGACAUGUAGGUGAAGUGAUUUACUCAUGGAGCUGAAGUCAGUCGAAGAUACCAGCUGGCUGCAACUGUUUAUUAAAAACACAGCACUGUGCAAACACGAAAGUGGACGUAUACGGUGUGACGCCUGCCCGGUGCCGGAAGGUUAAUUGAUGGGGUCAGCGCAAGCGAAGCUCCUGAUCGAAGCCCCGGUAAACGGCGGCCGUAACUAUAACGGUCCUAAGGUAGCGAAAUUCCUUGUCGGGUAAGUUCCGACCUGCACGAAUGGCGUAAUGAUGGCCAGGCUGUCUCCACCCGAGACUCAGUGAAAUUGAACUCGCUGUGAAGAUGCAGUGUACCCGCGGCAAGACGGAAAGACCCCGUGAACCUUUACUAUAGCUUGACACUGAACAUUGAGCCUUGAUGUGUAGGAUAGGUGGGAGGCUUUGAAGCGUGGACGCCAGUCUGCGUGGAGCCGGCCUUGAAAUACCACCCUUUAAUGUUUGAUGUUCUAACGUGGACCCGUGAUCCGGGUUGCGGACAGUGUCUGGUGGGUAGUUUGACUGGGGCGGUCUCCUCCUAAAGAGUAACGGAGGAGCACGAAGGUUGGCUAAUCCUGGUCGGACAUCAGGAGGUUAGUGCAAUGGCAUAAGCCAGCUUGACUGCGAGCGUGACGGCGCGAGCAGGUGCGAAAGCAGGUCAUAGUGAUCCGGUGGUUCUGAAUGGAAGGGCCAUCGCUCAACGGAUAAAAGGUACUCCGGGGAUAACAGGCUGAUACCGCCCAAGAGUUCAUAUCGACGGCGGUGUUUGGCACCUCGAUGUCGGCUCAUCACAUCCUGGGGCUGAAGUAGGUCCCAAGGGUAUGGCUGUUCGCCAUUUAAAGUGGUACGCGAGCUGGGUUUAGAACGUCGUGAGACAGUUCGGUCCCUAUCUGCCGUGGGCGCUGGAGAACUGAGGGGGGCUGCUCCUAGUACGAGAGGACCGGAGUGGACGCAUCACUGGUGUUCGGGUUGUCAUGCCAAUGGCACUGCCCGGUAGCUAAAUGCGGAAGAGAUAAGUGCUGAAAGCAUCUAAGCACGAAACUUGCCCCGAGAUGAGUUCUCCCUGAGACUUAAAGUCUCCUGAAGGAACGUUGAAGACGACGACGUUGAUAGGCCGGGUGUGUAAGCGCAGCGAUGCGUUGAGCUAACCGGUACUAAUGAACCGUGAGGCUUAACCUU